Mastomys coucha (southern multimammate mouse) is the source of this 305-nucleotide long non-coding RNA. RefSeq lists it as uncharacterized. Lineage: Eukaryota; Metazoa; Chordata; Mammalia; Rodentia; Muridae. The transcript is spliced from 2 exons. The record is from RefSeq and is a predicted model, not a curated record.
ACAAGCAAAGUAGUGCAGUGAGUUGCUUACAACUGGGUAGCAUGACAGGCAGGCUUCUUUUUGGUCACAAUGAAGAUGUUCUAAGAUUCAGUGAUGAUGAUGUAGACAUCACUUCAGGGAAUUGCAAUCCUUUGUUAUACUACGAAAAUCAAUCAAACAAAUGAGCACUAACUACUGAACAGCACAGCUGAAGAUGGAGGGAUUUCCACAGUGGAGGAGUCAGCAUGAAGGAGGAUUUAAGGUAUUACCUUGAAGCUGACAUACUGUAGAUGAUUUGAAUGCCUUUUAAUAAUCUGUUUGAUCAG